Molecule: ribosomal RNA, 824 nt
Filed under: uncultured Chroococcidiopsis sp.
Lineage: Bacteria; Bacillati; Cyanobacteriota; Cyanophyceae; Chroococcidiopsidales; Chroococcidiopsidaceae
Description: bacterial SSU rRNA
Rfam family: Bacterial small subunit ribosomal RNA
Source: RNAcentral
AGUGGCGGACGGGUGAGCAACGCGUGAGAAUCUGGCUUCAGGUUCGGGACAACAGCGGGAAACUGCUGCUAAUACCGGAUGUGCCGAAAGGUGAAAGAUUAAUUGCCUGAAGAUGAGCUCGCGUCUGAUUAGCUAGUUGGUGGGGUAAGAGCCCACCAAGGCGACGAUCAGUAACUGGUCUGAGAGGAUGACCAGUCACACUGGGACUGAGACACGGCCCAGACUCCUACGGGAGGCAGCAGUGGGGAAUUUUCCGCAAUGGGCGAAAGCCUGACGGAGCAAUACCGCGUGAGGGAGGAAGGCUCUUGGGUUGUAAACCUCUUUUCUCAGGGAAGAAUACAAUGACGGUACCUGAGGAAUAAGCAUCGGCUAACUCCGUGCCAGCAGCCGCGGUAAUACGGAGGAUGCAAGCGUUAUCCGGAAUUAUUGGGCGUAAAGCGUCCGCAGGUGGCAAUUCAAGUCUGCUGUCAAAGGUCAGGGCUCAACCCUGAACAGGCAGUGGAAACUGAACAGCUAGAGUGCGGUAGGGGCAGAGGGAAUUCCCAGUGUAGCGGUGAAAUGCGUAGAGAUUGGGAAGAACACCGGUGGCGAAAGCGCUCUGCUAGACCGCAACUGACACUCAUGGACGAAAGCUAGGGGAGCGAAUGGGAUUAGAUACCCCAGUAGUCCUAGCCGUAAACGAUGGAUACUAGGCGUUGCGAGUAUCGACCCUCGCAGUGCCGUAGCUAACGCGUUAAGUAUCCCGCCUGGGGAGUACGCGCGCAAGCGUGAAACUCAAAGGAUUUGACGGGGGCCCGCACAAGCGGUGGAGUAUGUGGUUUAAU